Molecule: ribosomal RNA, 250 nt
Filed under: uncultured bacterium
Lineage: Bacteria
Description: partial 16S ribosomal RNA
Rfam family: Bacterial small subunit ribosomal RNA
Source: RNAcentral
UACGAAGGGGGCUAGCGUUGCUCGGAAUCACUGGGCGUAAAGGGCGCGUAGGCGGCCAUUCAAGUCAGAGGUGAAAGCCCAGGGCUUAACCCUGGAAUUGCCUUUGAUACUGUUUGGCUUGAGACCGGAAGAGGUAAGUGGAACUGCGAGUGUAGAGGUGAAAUUCGUAGAUAUUCGCAAGAACACCAGUGGCGAAGGCGGCUUACUGGUCCGUUCUGACGCUGAGGCGCGAAAGCGUGGGAGCAACAGG